Molecule: ribosomal RNA, 292 nt
Filed under: uncultured eukaryote
Lineage: Eukaryota
Description: partial 18S ribosomal RNA
Rfam family: Eukaryotic small subunit ribosomal RNA
Source: RNAcentral
GGUUGAUCCUGCCAGGGGUCAUAUGCUCAGUUAAAAGAUUAAGCCAUGCACGUGUAAGUUCACAUCUUUUAUGGUGAAACCGCGAAUGGCUCAUUACAACAGCUAUAAUUUACUUGAUGUUGACUAUCCUACUUGGAUAACUGCGGUAAUUCUGGAGCUAAUACAUGCAUCAAAGCUCUGACACCCUCGGAGCGCAUUUAUUAGAACAAAACCAAUCGGCUUCGGCCGUUUGUUGUUGACUCUGAAUAACUUAGCUGAUCGCAUGGUCUUGUACCGGCGACAUAUCUUUCAA